RNAcentral lists this ribosomal RNA (458 nucleotides) under Velarifictorus ornatus. RNAcentral's name for it is "partial 16S ribosomal RNA". It matches the Rfam family "Bacterial large subunit ribosomal RNA", at positions 1798 to 2531 of the family's 2925-position model. Lineage: Eukaryota; Metazoa; Arthropoda; Insecta; Orthoptera; Gryllidae. The record is from RNAcentral.
CCCUGUUUAUCAAAAACAUGUCUUUUUGUAUGAAUAUAAAGUCGUGCCUGCCCACUGAUGAAUUAAAUGGCCGCGGUAUUUUGACCGUGCAAAGGUAGCAUAAUCAUUAGUCUUUUAAUUGGAGGCUGGAAUGAAUGGUUUGACGAAGCAAUAACUGUCUCGGGUUAAUGAAAUUGAAUUUUAUUUUUGAGUUAAAAAGCUUAAAUGAUGAUAGGGGCGAGAAGACCCUAUAGAUCUUGAAAUGUUAUUAUGAUAAUGUAUAGGUAGUUGUAUUAGAUUAUUAUUAUGAUGAAUUUUUUUGGUUGGGGUGACAGGAGAAUAGAAAAACUUCUUUAAUUUUGACUGUGAUGUUUGGUUAUAUGAUCCUAUAUUAUGGAAUUAAGAUAAAGAUACCUUAGGGAUAACAGCGUAAUUUUAUUGGAGAGUUCAUAUUGAUAAUAAAGAUUGCGACCUCGAUG